UGACCUCGGAUCAGGUAGGAGUUACCCGCUGAACUUAAGCAUAUCAAUAAGCGGAGGAAAAGAAACCAACCGGGAUUGCCUCAGUAACGGCGAGUGAAGCGGCAAGAGCUCAAAUUUGAAAUCUGGCCCCUUUGGGGUCCGAGUUGUAAUUUGCAGAGGAUGCUUCGGGUGCGGUCCCCAUCUAAGUGCCCUGGAACGGGCCGUCAUAGAGGGUGAGAAUCCCGUCUGGGAUGGGCGGCCGCGCCCGUGUGAAGCUCCUUCGACGAGUCGAGUUGUUUGGGAAUGCAGCUCUAAGCGGGUGGUAAAUUUCAUCUAAAGCUAAAUACUGGCCGGAGACCGAUAGCGCACAAGUAGAGUGAUCGAAAGAUGAAAAGCACUUUGAAAAGAGAGUUAAACAGCACGUGAAAUUGUUGAAAGGGAAGCGUUGUCCACCAGACUCGCCCGGGGGGGCUCAGCCGGCACGUGUGCCGGUGUACUCCUCUCCGGGCGGGCCAGCAUCGGUUUGGGCGGCUGGUGAAAGGCCCCGGGAAUGUAACACCCUCCGGGGUGCCUUAUAGCCCGGGGUGCCAUGCAGCCAGCCUGGACGAGGCCCGCGCUUCGGCGAGGAUG
This 609-nucleotide non-coding RNA is filed under the name Talaromyces marneffei ATCC 18224. Its description in RNAcentral is "Penicillium marneffei ATCC 18224 Eukaryotic large subunit ribosomal RNA". It matches the Rfam family "Eukaryotic large subunit ribosomal RNA", at positions 1 to 625 of the family's 3401-position model. The record is from Rfam by way of RNAcentral. Lineage: Eukaryota; Fungi; Ascomycota; Eurotiomycetes; Eurotiales; Trichocomaceae.